CUUCGAUGAAGAACGCAGCGAAAUGCGAUAAGUAAUGUGAAUUGCAGAAUUCAGUGAAUCAUCGAAUCUUUGAACGCAUCUUGCGCUCCUUGGUAUUCCGAGGAGCAUGCCUGUUUGAGUGUCAU
This 125-nucleotide ribosomal RNA is filed under the name Agaricus macrosporus. RNAcentral describes it as "5.8S ribosomal RNA". It matches the Rfam family "5.8S ribosomal RNA", at positions 31 to 154 of the family's 154-position model. Rfam says of the family: 5.8S ribosomal RNA (5.8S rRNA) is a component of the large subunit of the eukaryotic ribosome. Lineage: Eukaryota; Fungi; Basidiomycota; Agaricomycetes; Agaricales; Agaricaceae. The record is from RNAcentral.